GCUCAUAAUAACAUAUAUUGCAUUACACGUCUUGUCCAUUUCCCUAACGCGUCGAGAAAAGUCCCUGAACACUUCCACUGCACAUACCAAAUUCACCCUCGACAUUUGUAUCAGCACUCUAUAACACUCCCUUAUUAAGUCCACAACACUCCCUUAUUAAUUCUUAUCUGUAACCUUCCCCUCUUGAAUCACUAACUCCCCUUCCUUUACCUCACCUGUAUGAACUAAUGCGCGGUGCCACCUGCCCUGUCCAUCACUCCCAUCACUCCAGCACAUCUUGAAGCGGCGCUCACUCCUGCCGUUAGGAAUGUGGCCCAUCGAUCUGCCUUAGUGUCUGAGUGUGACUGCAGACUGACGGGGGAUGAGACCACCAACCUUACUGAGACUCGGAGUGGACAGCGACUGAAGGCAGGAAGGAAGGAAUGAAGGCAGGCAGGCAGAUGUAGCGGCUCCAGUCAGAAUUUACCUAAUUUCUUUUGCCAUUCGGAUACAUAUAUAGAAUAAAUAAUGGAAUAAAACGAGGAAGCCUGUGAAUUGA
Scylla paramamosain (green mud crab) is the source of this 538-nucleotide long non-coding RNA. RefSeq lists it as uncharacterized. The transcript has 2 exons. NCBI's taxonomy places the organism in Eukaryota, Metazoa, Arthropoda, Malacostraca, Decapoda, Portunidae. The record is from RefSeq and is a predicted model, not a curated record.